GCUUCUGGUUGGGGUAUGAAGAAUUGCCUGGUGCUGGCUGGUUCUAGGUUUCAGUUUCAAAUUGGAUUGCAAGGCUGUGGACCAUACAUGGCAAUGUACAUUCAUGUGACAAGUAUGUAAAACGGUACUUCUGUGUCAUGCACAAAGUCUCUGUGGUCAGGCUUACAUUGCUGGAACAGGUGGCUCACCGUCUGUUAGUAAAGUCCAUUCAUAGCAAAUGUAUUCCAGAUUCUCAUUAGCAUACGUUGCAUUGUUUUCAUAGCAAACGCUCAUAAUAUUCUCUAAAUGUUAUCUUCAGUUUGGCCACUUGCUUCAUACUUGCACUCAAAAAACCCCUCAAGAGUUGAAAGGUAGACAGAAGGGGAGGGGUACAGAAAAUCAAAUUCCUCAGCAAGCCCUUUCAGGCUCCUGUUUUUAUCUCUCUUUCCCCACCAUCACUUACAUAACUCUUAUCAGCAUUGUACCUGAGAGCUACAUGUUGAGCAAAGGUGGGGGCUUCAAUUAAAGUGAGACAAAGAAAAAUUGAUUUUAGGAGCCCAAAGAAAAAUGAACACAAGAAGCAAUUUCAUUCUAUAUUUUUUUGUCUUCAGGGGUUGAGAAAUUGCUGACUCUGAUGGAAAACCUCAAGGCAACUAAUGUUUGUAAGGGCCUCUCUGAAACAUUACUGGGGUGAACUUUCAUUCGGAGAAGUUAUCAAAUGCAAAAACCCAUCAUUUCGAUACAGCUUUCUUGCUCCUGCCUCAACGUCAUCCUACUUUGGACCUCCUCUCUCAUGCUCACUUGUGUACACACACGCACAGACACUUUCACAGCACAGCAGGCUGGUGCUGGGGCUGGUGAACAGCUGCACAGGCUCUGAAGUAGACAGACAGAUGAGGCCUGUGCUAACACCCUGGACCUAAACAUCCUGAAAACCUGAAAGCAACAACUGGACGUGGCUGUGAACAACGCAUCUUUGGGACAAAACGUAUAGAAAUGUCCCUGCUCCCUAGUUCGUCAGCCAAGGGCAGAAAUCUCUUUCUCUGCCGGUAUCUUCCCACGGUUAAAAAGUGUCUCACCCAAGGCCGGAAUUAGGGUGCUGAGCCCUGCACAUCCUGUGUGAGCCUUACGUGCUGGGAAGCCGCCCAUUACAGACAGCGCCGUUGCCUUCCUGCCUUCCUUGCAGAACCUCCCAACUAUGCAUCCUGAGCCUUUUCUUUUUAAUUCUCUUGGAUUUAACACAGAUCCCCUUUAGAGCAAGAAAGGAGCAGAAAGAAAGGUGCGGUCCGUUACUCACCGAGCAAGCUGCUGAGGCCUCUCUGACAAGCUACCGGUUUUGUUUUCUUCCGCUACCACCCCAAGUCAACCAUCCCCUGUUAAUUAGCAUGCCCUUUAUCUCCCCUUUGCAUGCUGUGGCACUCCUCCCUCCAAGGGAAAUGAAUGAAAGGAAACCCCAACUUGCUGUUAAGUUACAACUUCCCGCGCCAAUAAUGUGGGCUGAGACAGACAUACGUUAUCGGUUUCUCCUGUGUCAGGGCUCAUUGCUGUUCAUCCACAAAGAGCCGUAGAAGUGAAGGUCUUACCUGUGUUUGCGAUGGGAGCCCAGAGGUAGACGCACCAAAUCACUGAUCUUCUCCCCAACCUCUGUUAAGCUUCAAGGCAGAAAGAGAAGGUUGGAUAUUGGGUUAUGGGGCAUUAACUGACAUCUUCAUUCCAGCGACUUCAUUGUGCUGCCAUUUUUUUUUUUUUUAAUAAAACAGGAAAUGUGCUAAGCCACAAUGCUUAUCCCCAGUUCCUGUCUCGUUAGUCUGUGACAUGGUACAGAAAGCUAGCAGGCAACUUGAAGCCCAGUUCAGUAUGGUGGUUUGGGUAUCUUGAGAUGUAAGAAGUCUGGACUUUUGCUAUCACCAGCCACCGUUAUCCCUCACUGCACAUGGAAGCGGUGCAUGGAUCCAGGAAGCUAUGCCCACAGCACAGCAGGUCUUUUAUUAUGCUUGCUGAUUCCUGCCAAUUCCAAGGGGCCUGGGGUUAGGUAAUUCCACCCAGGGUAUAAGAGCAGUUGGUGUGAAUGGAGCAGCCCUGGAAGAAAUCCCUCGGACAAGCUUAGCUCGGGUGACAUGGCUCAGCUCUGUGUUACAUUGCUUCCAUUUUAUCUGCCGAUGAAACAGCUGCCUUGGGAAGAGGGAGGUGUUUGUACGCUAAUCCAGUGUACAGGUGCAUGUGUAUGCUGUGCUAGAACAUGGCAAAGAUGCAGCACUUGUAGGGUACAUUUGUGUGAUUAACCAUUUGGCCGUUAAUGAAAGAAUGCCUUCAAAAAGGUCCUGAUGCAAAGCUCCUUGAAUUCAGUGGAAAGAACCUAACUAACCUGAAUUGGGCCCGAAAAGAAUAAACAAGUCUCUUUCAGAUUUCUGUAUUUCAGGUAGACUCCCCUUCAGUUCUUCAUGUGUCCUUGGAAAAUACUUUAUUAUGCCAGCUUAGCUUUAAUUUACACCUUGUCUCAAUUUCUCCUCUUCUUUUAUUUUUUUUUUAAACUCCAACUGAGAUGUUAUAAAAUGUAAACAGCAGAGACAAAAAGAACAUGCACAUGGCAUGUGAUCCAAUACCAUAGUUAAUGAUGCUGUUUAGAUACUUAGCGCUGUUGAGUUU
Long non-coding RNA from Alligator mississippiensis (American alligator), 2625 nucleotides. RefSeq lists it as uncharacterized. Lineage: Eukaryota; Metazoa; Chordata; Crocodylia; Alligatoridae. The transcript has 2 exons. The record is from RefSeq and is a predicted model, not a curated record.